RNAcentral lists this ribosomal RNA (160 nucleotides) under Perenniporia ochroleuca. RNAcentral's name for it is "5.8S ribosomal RNA". It matches the Rfam family "5.8S ribosomal RNA". From Rfam's summary of the family: 5.8S ribosomal RNA (5.8S rRNA) is a component of the large subunit of the eukaryotic ribosome. RNAcentral also lists the same sequence under 1 other name. The record is from RNAcentral. Lineage: Eukaryota; Fungi; Basidiomycota; Agaricomycetes; Polyporales; Polyporaceae.
CAACUUUCAGCAACGGAUCUCUUGGCUCUCGCAUCGAUGAAGAACGCAGCGAAAUGCGAUAAGUAAUGUGAAUUGCAGAAUUCAGUGAAUCAUCGAAUCUUUGAACGCACCUUGCGCUCCUUGGUAUUCCGAGGAGCAUGCCUGUUUGAGUGUCAUGAAA